This 587-nucleotide ribosomal RNA is filed under the name uncultured bacterium. RNAcentral describes it as "partial 16S ribosomal RNA". It matches the Rfam family "Bacterial small subunit ribosomal RNA", at positions 355 to 1375 of the family's 1533-position model. The record is from RNAcentral.
UGGGGAAUUUUGGACAAUGGGCGAAAGCCUGAUCCAGCAAUGCCGCGUGUGUGAAGAAGGCCUUCGGGUUGUAAAGCACUUUUGUCCGGAAAGAAAUCCUUGGCUCUAAUACAGUCGGGGGAUGACGGUACCGGAAGAAUAAGCACCGGCUAACUACGUGCCAGCAGCCGCGGUAAUACGUAGGGUGCAAGCGUUAAUCGGAAUUACUGGGCGUAAAGCGUGCGCAGGCGGUUUGCUAAGACCGAUGUGAAAUCCCCGGGCUCAACCUGGGAACUGCAUUGGUGACUGGCAGGCUAGAGUAUGGCAGAGGGGGGUAGAAUUCCACGUGUAGCAGUGAAAUGCGUAGAGAUGUGGAGGAAUACCGAUGGCGAAGGCAGCCCCCUGGGCCAAUACUGACGCUCAUGCACGAAAGCGUGGGGGAGCAAACAGGAUUAGAUACCCUGGUAGUCCACGCCCUAAAACGAUGUCAACUAGUUGUUGGGGAUUCAUUUCCUUAGUAACGUAGCUAACGCGUGAAGUUGACCGCCUGGGGAGUACGGUCGCAAGAUUAAAACUUAAAGGAAUUGACGGGGUCAUAGCUGUUUCCU